UGGGGAAUAUUGGGCAAUGGGCGCAAGCCUGACCCAGCCACGCCGCGUGAGUGAUGAAGGCCUUCGGGUCGUAAAGCUCUGUGGGGAGGGACGAAAAAACGUCGGCUAAUAUCCAACGGACUGACGGUACUUCCUUAGCAAGCACCGGCUAACUCCGUGCCAGCAGCCGCGGUAAUACGGAGGGUGCAAACGUUGCUCGGAAUCAUUGGGCGUAAAGCGCACGUAGGCGGUCCAGCAAGUCGGGUGUGAAAGCCCUCGGCUCAACCGAGGAAGUGCAUUCGAAACUAGUGGACUUGAAUACUGGAGAGGGUCGCGGAAUUCCCGGUGUAGAGGUGAAAUUCGUAGAUAUCGGGAGGAACACCAGUGGCGAAGGCGGCGACCUGGACAGAUAUUGACGCUGAGGUGCGAAAGCGUGGGGAGCAAACAG
This 427-nucleotide ribosomal RNA is filed under the name uncultured bacterium. RNAcentral describes it as "bacterial SSU rRNA". It matches the Rfam family "Bacterial small subunit ribosomal RNA", at positions 355 to 775 of the family's 1533-position model. The record is from RNAcentral.